AGCCUUAUAGCUCAUCAGCAUGAUGAUUGGGUGUUCAGGUUCUCAUGUGAGACGUGCCUCCCUCAAACCUUGUGAUAACAUUAACAUGUUACCUGUCUGAUG
Molecule: non-coding RNA, 102 nt
Organism: Myotis lucifugus (little brown bat)
Lineage: Eukaryota; Metazoa; Chordata; Mammalia; Chiroptera; Vespertilionidae
Source: Rfam